CGAACCUUAGAGUAGUCCUGCGGUCCGACCACGGCUAACGUAACUUCGUUUUCUUUUUUACAUCGACGGUUCUCUCCUUUUCUGGUCGUGGGCUGCUGGAGGAGCUAGCCCCACCAUCCUCUAAUCGUGUGUGUGCUACCCAAAAUAAAAAUCUAAUGGUGUUUGUGCGGUUCUAGAAUUUCGACGGGAUACGGGUGGCGACCGAUUGCACAUGGCGGCCGGCGGCGAGCGGCUGCAGCUACAGUGCGGCGGGCGGCUGCGUGGUGAGCGGAGAGCGCGGGUAUCCUUGGCGAUGUCGACCGCCUCCUGCUCCCUCUCCAGAUCCCCUGCAUCGACCACUUCCGUGUCCGUCGCCAGCGCCCCUCCGCCGCCAAGGCCGUGGGAGCCCCUACCGAACUCCACCAUCGAGCUGCAGGGGGACGGCCGCCAUAGGAGAACCUCGAGACUCCAUUUUCGUCCAGGACUACAAACAUUUAGGUAUGACGCUCUAUUGACAGGUUCACCUUGGUUUGAAGCAUGUUAAAUAUUUCUGAUCCAACUUUUGAUUUAUUAGUGAAGCCACUGCUCCAAAUUGUAGAAAAACCAGAGCUGGCACGAAGGUGGAUGAUUUACCUGGAUCUAUUGUUUGCCAAACAAACUGUUGAGUGCUUAUAAUAGAUAACCAAUUAGUCAUCUAGUCGCCAACAGGAUUAUGUCAAAAAUCUGAAGGCUAUAUUCCAAAUUCAAGGAGAAAGUCUCGGCUGCUUAUUUCUUAUCUCUACCAAUUUGGACGAGGAAGUCUCGAUUUUUCUCUCCCAUUGUGCAUCAUUUUGGUCCGUAGUUGUUAAAUUUUACAGAUGUAAUUUUGUUGAUUUGGAAAAUGAAUCUCGUGAUAAGUAAUUCUGCUUCUUUUUUUAAAGUCUAGUGCUAGUUGGUCCUGCUCAACUAGGUUCUAUGCAAAAUACCAAAUUUAAAGAAACUAGUUACGCAAAUAACAGGUACAGAUGCUGAUACAAAUGUAAAAUGCAGAGGACAUAAAUGACAAGAGAUUAAUAGAACAACCUGCACUGUUGUAGCUCAAAAUGUUAUCUAAGCAAGGACACCAUUAGACCUUUAAUGUGUUCAUAUCCUAGACUUAGUUCACAUGAAAGUAAUAGUGCAAGACAAAAUCCAAGAAGUCAAUAUUUUCACAUUCUGCUAAAUGUUGAGAUUAGUGAAACAAACCGUAGAAAUGGCUUAUAUAGGAAGAUCCACAUAUCAUUGUUGGUUCAGAUCCAUGUAUACUCUAAGGCAUUGGGUUUUUUCAUCUUCAUCCCAUUUUGCUAUCUUGUACAGCUGUACAUUCAAGUAUGGUCAGUUUCUAAUUUCGGAAAAUUUACCACGGCCAUAGACAUACUUUUCUUUGGUCAUUUUAAUUGGUUCAUUUACCCUUUUAUAUCCAAGCCUUUUCAUAAAUUGCUUAUCCAAUCUGAUAUUCAUCACUUCCAUUUUGUCAUAUUGUCAAUAAUCGAGUUAAUAGUUCUGAAACUUUGCUUCAUAAUUAUAUGUCUAUUUUUUUCAGCUUGUAGCUGGCUUUGGCGAUGGGUACCAGCGCUUGGCUUGGGUCGGUGGCAUGACCUUUCCAUUCUAAAUUGAAGUUUGUCUCAAAAGGUCAGACUAUAUGGAGGUUGCCAUGUGAACAUGGCAAGGCAACUGAAUAAGUUUUCCAUUGACAGGCAUGAAGGCGGCAACUACUCACCAUUGCAAGGAGAAAGGCAUAGCUUCUGCUCUCAACUAAGAAGCCUGGCAGUUAUGGCAAAAGGAAAGGAACUAGCAAGUUGUUAGUGGUUAAUAGUAUAAACAUCAGUGUUUUUCACUCCGCAUACUUUGUUACACAAAUUUAUUCUAGUAUAAACUUUAUGCAAAUGUAGUUGCACCCAUAGUUCUUACAGACACGUGUGUGCAUCAGUGUAUACUAUCUACCAUGACUUGGAGGUCCUAUGUCGUGUUAUCAGAAACAUGUUUCUUUUUUCCAAGAUUGGCACCUGGAAAUCUUGGGUGACAUAAUGUAUUCAGAAUUUGAUGUAUGAGAAUUCUCUGUGUGACAUAAUUUAUCUUA
Lolium perenne is the source of this 2077-nucleotide RNA transcript. RefSeq lists it as uncharacterized. The record is from RefSeq and is a predicted model, not a curated record. Lineage: Eukaryota; Viridiplantae; Streptophyta; Magnoliopsida; Poales; Poaceae.